Molecule: long non-coding RNA, 330 nt
Organism: Homo sapiens (human)
Lineage: Eukaryota; Metazoa; Chordata; Mammalia; Primates; Hominidae
Exons: 2
Source: RefSeq, a predicted model, not a curated record
CUCGGUCUCAAGCCAUCUGCCUGCCUCGGCCUCCCAAAGUGCUUGGAUUACAGGCAUAAACCACUGCACCCUGCCAACUUCAUUCCAGUUCUAAUACCUGAUCCACUUUACAGAUGAAGAAACUGAGGAAUUAAAAGAAACUCAGGAACUAGAGAGUUCUGAAUGGAACUUUACACCAAUAAAAGCCAUUCUGUCCAAGAGGUUACAUGCAAAUGGCAAAAUAUAAUUUGGCUGCCUGUUUGCAAGUGGCAAACAUCAUUCCUAUUAUGUAACAGAACUGGGAAGAGGAUUUUGUUGCCUGGAAAGAGUGAGUAAAGAUUUUUUUUUUAA